AUUGAACGCUGGCGGCAGGCCUAACACAUGCAAGUCGAACGAGUGGCGGACGGGUGGGUAAUGUCUGGGCAACUGCCUGAGGGAGGGGGAUAACUACUGGGCACGGUAGCUAAUACCGCAUACCAUCAGAUGUGCCCAGAUGGGAUUAGCUUGUUGGUGGGGUAACGGCUCACCAAGGCGACGAUCCCUAGCUGGUCUGAGAGGAUGACCAGCCACACUGGAACUGAGACACGGUCCAGACUCCUACGGGAGGCAGCAGUGGGGAAUAUUGCACAAUGGGCGCAAGCCUGAUGCAGCCAUGCCGCGUGUAUGAAGAAGGCCUUCGGGUUGUAAAGUACUUUAAGCGGGGAGGCGUUACCCGCAGAAGAAGCACCGGCUAACUCCGUGCCAGCCGCCGCGGUAAUUC
Molecule: ribosomal RNA, 406 nt
Filed under: uncultured bacterium
Lineage: Bacteria
Description: partial 16S ribosomal RNA
Rfam family: Bacterial small subunit ribosomal RNA
Source: RNAcentral